UUUAAGUGCAACUAUGAGUUUCUGUACCCAACUUUGACAGUCCGUCUUAUUCAAAAAAAAUUUAUAAUUAGUAUUUUUAUUGUUAUGAGAUGAUAAAAUAUAAAUAGUACUUUAUACGUGACUUAUUUUUUUUAUUUUUUUUUCAAAAAAGACGUGCGUUCAAAGUUUGGCACGGAAAAUCAUGGUUGCACUUAAA
MicroRNA precursor from Oryza sativa Japonica Group (Japanese rice), 196 nucleotides. It matches the Rfam family "MIR812 microRNA precursor family". The record is from Rfam. Lineage: Eukaryota; Viridiplantae; Streptophyta; Magnoliopsida; Poales; Poaceae.